This 497-nucleotide ribosomal RNA is filed under the name uncultured bacterium. Its description in RNAcentral is "partial 16S ribosomal RNA". It matches the Rfam family "Bacterial small subunit ribosomal RNA", at positions 28 to 507 of the family's 1533-position model. The record is from RNAcentral.
GAUGAACGCUGGCGGCGUGCCUAAUACAUGCCAGUCGAGCGAACGGACGAGAAGCUUGCUUCUCUGAUGUUAGCGGCGGACGGGUGAGUAACACGUGGAUAACCUACCUAUAAGACUGGGAUAACUUCGGGAAACCGGAGCUAAUACCGGAUAAUAUUUUGAACCGCAUGGUUCAAAAGUGAAAGACGGUCUUGCUGUCACUUAUAGAUGGAUCCGCGCUGCAUUAGCUAGUUGGUAAGGUAACGGCUUACCAAGGCAACGAUGCAUAGCCGACCUGAGAGGGUGAUCGGCCACACUGGAACUGAGACACGGUCCAGACUCCUACGGGAGGCAGCAGUAGGGAAUCUUCCGCAAUGGGCGAAAGCCUGACGGAGCAACGCCGCGUGAGUGAUGAAGGUCUUCGGAUCGUAGAACUCUGUUAUUAGGGAAGAACAUAUGUGUAAGUAACUGUGCACAUCUUGACGGUACCUAAUCAGAAAGCCACGGCUAACUACGUG